Molecule: unclassified non-coding RNA, 723 nt
Filed under: Rhipicephalus microplus (southern cattle tick)
Lineage: Eukaryota; Metazoa; Arthropoda; Arachnida; Ixodida; Ixodidae
Description: uncharacterized LOC119167990, transcript variant X2
Source: RNAcentral
CAAAAAGAGUUUAAAAGACCGAAAGCCUAGUCAUUUAUUGUAUAGUACAGCAAGUGUUUGGAGAAGCAGAGGUCUGAAUGUAGAAACGUAUCUAAUUCAGGCUAGUUCUACACACCAAAUACGACUAUCUGGACUAUGCUGACAACACGAAGAAAAAUAACCUGCAAAGUUGAUUUCGUGAAUAAUGCAACUAAUACUUCUGUUUUCUUUGAGAGGGAAUAUUGCUUAGGACAUGAAUGGGUCAACACAACUUUGCAGGGGAUUUUUAUAACCAUCAGCCUUUUUACUAACGCCACGUAUGAUGCAAUGAGAGUUUCUCCUCCAGGCAUUAUGUCCCUAGUGGCUGAGCAGAUACUUUUCGCUGACCCAACAUUUACAUGCGGAGUCUUCAAAAUAUUUUUGCCGCCCUCGGCUGGAGAUAAUCGCAAAGGUGGGAACUAUGAGUUGCGCAUGAGAGGGUCUUAUAACACUAUCUAUGAUUCAAUGUGCUACGCCGAAUUCAAGAAGUAUGCGCUAAAGGACUUCGUACAUGCUUUUCUGCCCGGUUGCACUGGUAGAAUAAUCAUAUGCAAAUAAUAGGCAGACCUCCCACAAUACUAUUCGAAUCAAAUAAAGACCUCUUCGCCGGCUUGCAAUAAUAGUGAGGUCAUCUGAAGCAACCAACCCGUAAUUUCAACAAAUGAGAAGAUUCAAACAUUACGCAUCAAGUCAAAACUACUAAUU